AUUGAACGCUGGCGGCAGGCCUAACACAUGCAAGUCGAGCGGAUGAAGGGAGCUUGCUCCUGGAUUCAGCGGCGGACGGGUGAGUAAUGCCUAGGAAUCUGCCUGGUAGUGGGGGAUAACGACCGGAAGCGGGCGCUAAUACCGCAUACGUCCUGAGGGAGAAAGUGGGGGAUCUUCGGACCUCACGCUAUCAGAUGAGCCUAGGUCGGAUUAGCUAGUUGGUGGGGUAAAGGCCUACCAAGGCGACGAUCCGUAACUGGUCUGAGAGGAUGAUCAGUCACACUGGAACUGAGACACGGUCCAGACUCCUACGGGAGGCAGCAGUGGGGAAUAUUGGACAAUGGGCGAAAGCCUGAUCCAGCCAUGCCGCGUGUGUGAAGAAGGUCUUCGGAUUGUAAAGCACUUUAAGUUGGGAGGAAGGGCAGUAAGUUAAUACCUUGCUGUUUUGACGUUACCAACAGAAUAAGCACCGGCUAACUUCGUG
RNAcentral lists this ribosomal RNA (484 nucleotides) under uncultured bacterium. RNAcentral describes it as "partial 16S ribosomal RNA". It matches the Rfam family "Bacterial small subunit ribosomal RNA", at positions 30 to 507 of the family's 1533-position model. The record is from RNAcentral.